Homo sapiens (human) is the source of this 1286-nucleotide long non-coding RNA. Ensembl annotates it as long intergenic non-protein coding RNA 1501. The record is from Ensembl. Lineage: Eukaryota; Metazoa; Chordata; Mammalia; Primates; Hominidae.
GGGAAGUAGGCCCGGAGUGGUGCCAGCAGGAGGUGGCCUUAGAAAGGCGGAGACCCAAGGAGCAGAGUGAGUCGGCGUCCAGCUCCACCUGAAAGCGCCAUCUUGUCGCCACUUCCCUCAGGAGCAGGAAGAAGAAGAGAUUUUGGAGUAGCAAUGGAAUAAUGACUGGAGACUGCAAGAGCAUGCCCAGCCUCUUGCAUAGGAAGAAGUGGUAAGCUAAGGAGAGAAAUGCAGGGUUCCUAGUACACCAAUUUUCCAACUUUUUCAUCUUGGCCCUGCUUUAAAAUGAUGCAUCUACUGUCUUCAUGCCUCAGCACAGCAGAGGGUCACCUGAAUGUGGAAAAGUUGAGUUGGAGCAAAACUGGCACGGCCAUACUGGAUGGACCUCAGCAUGACCAGGACACAUUUCAGCUCAAAUCCCCUGUGCCAAGAACACAUUCUGCCAAGGACCACCACCUCUUCCCACAACUAGAGCUGGCUUACCAGAGCACCGAUGGACUUGGAUACCUGAGAUAUCUGCUUGGGAUCCCACACUUUCAAGGUCUCUCCUCUGGCCUUCUUCUGGUUCUGCGACUCCUUACAGCGCUGGGAGUUGGUGAUGCCAACAGGACAUACGCUCCCAGAGCCUACCUCUCCCAGAUCACUUUAAAAGGCACCCAGGACCCCAGAAUUCUCAUCCUCAAAGGCAUGGAGCUCAGCUCUUGGCCCUCAACAAAUCUCUUCCCCAUAAAGAUCCUUUUGAGAGCUUAGGAUGUCCCCCGGAUGGUUUUGGUUGCAGAUUGUGGUGGUGGAGGGAGCUAUACAAUUUAAUCUAUUGCCAUUAAUUGGAUGCGCUAAUGGCAGAUUGGGUAGUGAUAAUGCCAUAAGAGGUAGUGUGUGAGCCGUGUGCUGCAUCUGUGCUAGCUCAGGUAAGUCAGCACACAGCACCUGCAGCCUCCUCUCACCUCUUCCCUGAGCAGCACCUUUUCACCUGAACAUGCUGAUCCCCUAGUGCUUCAUCUUGACAGCAACUUAACAAGCCCUGGGCAGCUUUUUAAAAUAAAUGACUAUGAUAUUGACUAUGAAUCUACAUAAAAGCCACUUGUUUUUUAGUCAUAAUCUGUGUCUAACUGCAGAAGAAAUUCACACCUUUGAAAAACAAAUAAAAAUGUAAAAAGUGAAAAUUGUUUGUAACCACAAUAUUCUGAAAUAGAACCUUUUUGUUAGAUCAUUUUCAAGAGGAUUUUUCAUACUUUCCUACAGUAAUACCAAUGUAUAUGCACUUGUAUAAAUUCUUGGUUAAAAUA